GGCUGCAACUCGCCUACAUGAAGUCGGAAUCGCUAGUAAUCGCGCAUCAGCCACGGCGCGGUGAAUACGUUCCCGGGCCUUGUACACACCGCCCGUCAAGCCAUGGAAGCCGGGGUGCCUAAAGUGCGUGACCGCAAGGGACGCCCUAGGGUAAAACCGGUGACUGGGGCUAAGUCGUAACAAGGUAAC
This 189-nucleotide ribosomal RNA is filed under the name uncultured bacterium. RNAcentral describes it as "partial 16S ribosomal RNA". It matches the Rfam family "Bacterial small subunit ribosomal RNA", at positions 1303 to 1500 of the family's 1533-position model. The record is from RNAcentral.